GUUAAAUGGAAAAUAUUAUUAAACUACAAGUAAUAAUAAGUGAAAUUGGAUUAUUAUUUUGUAUGAAAAGUUUAUUUGAGUUGAAGCUAAAAAAAUCUAAUAAAAAACUAGGAUUAGAUACCCUACUAUUUAGAAAGAAAAAUAUUAACUUAAUUAUUAAAAGAUAAGUUCUUAAAAUUUAAAAAAUUUGGCGGUAAUUUAAUCUUUUUAGAGGAACCUGUUUUUAAAUCGAUAAUCCACGUAAAAUUUUACUUAUUCUAGUAUAUUUACUAGUUUGUAUACCGUCAUUAUCAGAUAGUUUUAAAAGAAUCUAUUAAAAAUAAUCUUUUAUAAAAAUUAGAUCAUGGUGCAGCCUAUGAAUAAGUUAAAAUGGGUUACAAUAAUUUUUUUUAUGGAUUAAUAAAUGAAUAUUUGUUAUGAAAAGGAUUUAAUUGUACUUAAAUUUUAAUAAGUUUUAAGGAAAUAAGCUCUAAAUUAUGUACAUAUCGCCCGUCGCUUUCAUUUAUAAAU
This 510-nucleotide ribosomal RNA is filed under the name Ilyograpsus paludicola. Its description in RNAcentral is "partial 12S ribosomal RNA". Lineage: Eukaryota; Metazoa; Arthropoda; Malacostraca; Decapoda; Macrophthalmidae. The record is from RNAcentral.